GAUGAACGCUAGCGGCAGGCCUAACACAUGCAAGUCGAGGGGCAGCACAGAAACAGCAAUGUUUGGUGGCGACCGGCGGACGGGUGCGUAACGCGUAUGCAACCUACCUUUAACAGGGGGAUAACGGAGAGAAAUUUCCACUAAUACCCCAUAACAUCGAUCAAGGCAUCUUGAUUGGUUGAAAACUCCGGUGGUUAAAGAUGGGCAUGCGUUGUAUUAGGUAGUUGGUGAGGUAAUGGCUCACCAAGCCUACGAUACAUAGGGGGACUGAGAGGUUAGCCCCCCACACUGGUACUGAGACACGGACCAGACUCCUACGAGAGGCAGCAGUGAGGAAUAUUGGUCAAUGGGGGCAACCCUGAACCAGCCAUGCCGCGUGCAGGAAGACGGCUCUAUGAGUUGUAAACUGCUUUUAAACAGGGAUAAAGCACAGUAUGUAUACUGUGUUGAAGGUACUGUAAGAAUAAGGAUCGGCUAACUCCGUGCCAGCCGCCGCCGUAA
Molecule: ribosomal RNA, 501 nt
Filed under: uncultured bacterium
Lineage: Bacteria
Description: partial 16S ribosomal RNA
Rfam family: Bacterial small subunit ribosomal RNA
Source: RNAcentral